Molecule: long non-coding RNA, 228 nt
Filed under: Elaeis guineensis (African oil palm)
Lineage: Eukaryota; Viridiplantae; Streptophyta; Magnoliopsida; Arecales; Arecaceae
Description: long non-coding RNA (EGUI_LNC003996)
Source: RNAcentral
ACUGAGAAACUCCUUCAAAGUCGAUCCAGCGGCACCCCUAAUAUUAGAGCCUCCAUUCUUUGAUCGUCGUGGGCCUUCAUGGCAUACAUGGUAUCAGGGACUUAAUGGCAUUAGAGCCAAAGACUUAGGACUGGAACUAGGGUAUCAGAAGAAUUGCCUAAGUUGUUAAUGAUAUGAACUAGGAUAUUGGGCGAUUAUCAGAGAUAAUGGCGAUUAUAACUCAUACUU